RNAcentral lists this unclassified non-coding RNA (387 nucleotides) under soil metagenome. RNAcentral's name for it is "partial contains 5.8S ribosomal RNA, internal transcribed spacer 2, and large subunit ribosomal RNA". The stretch from base 1 to 120 matches the Rfam family "5.8S ribosomal RNA", at positions 35 to 154 of the family's 154-position model. The record is from RNAcentral.
GAUGAAGAACGUAGCGAAAUGCGAUAAGUAAUGUGAAUUGCAGAAUUCAGUGAAUCAUCGAAUCUUUGAACGCACCUUGCGCUCCUUGGUAUUCCGAGGAGCAUGCCUGUUUGAGUGUCAUGAAAUUCUCAACCUUUUCAGCUUUCUUUGUUGAUCAGGCUUGGAUGUGGGAGUAUGCGGGCUUCUCAGAAGUCGGCUCUCCUGAAAUGCAUUAGCGGGACCUUUGUUGCCUGGCUUUGGUGUGAUAAUUAUCUACGCCAUUGUAGUCAAGAAGCUUAAAAUGAGGUUUCAGCUUCUAACCGUCUCCCCUGAGACAACUUUUUGACAAUUUGACCUCAAAUCAGGUAGGACUACCCGCUGAACUUAAGCAUAUCAAUAAGCGGAGGA